GCCUGUGGAGGCCCCAGCCCUGGGCCUCAGCUUUUAUCGGCGGGAGGACCGCCCACCCUACUCCUUCUCCGUGACUCACAGCUUCUCCCUCCCAACCCACCCCCACUCAGCGUUGCAGAAAGGGAGGAGAGUGGGAAGGGAGGGAGGCACCCUCCGUCAGCAGGGAGGGUGAACAACAGGGGCCGAGUCUACACGUCACUGCCCAGGGCCUAGAUCCCGCGUCCCCAGAGCUGAGCACCCGACCCCAAAGGUUCUGCCACCCUUACCUCGAUAAUUGCUUUCCAGUUCAGGAAAGGGGUGUUGUGUUUGAAAUCCUGGAGGGAGGAGAAGAGACCUGCUCCUGGGGAAGCCGCCCCAGAUGGAUCCUGCCUAACUGUGAGCACUCUCCUUUUACUGGCUCCCUAGAUGUGCAAGAAUGUCGACUGCCUUCCAGGACCCGGGGAAGUCAGGAACUCGGAGACUGUGACAGGCAGGGGGCCUGUGGCUCCUGGAGAACAAGCCUCUCCCACCACAAGAAGCAGUGGCCACUCAGCUCUUGUCUCUGGGAGCUCGAGGAAAGAGGGGCCCCGCGUUGCCACAUUUUUCAAGAGAAGCCGGAAUUCCAAGUCAUUUUGUAAAAUCUCUCAGUUUUUAAACUUUGGCAACUAGUUCAUAAUGCUUUAAAAAAAAAAAAAAAAAGAAUAGAUCACCGGGCACCUGGGUGGCUCAGUCGGCUAAGCGUCCGACUCUUGAUUUUGGCUCAGGUCAUGAUCU
This is a long non-coding RNA of Prionailurus viverrinus (fishing cat), 753 nucleotides long. RefSeq lists it as uncharacterized. The transcript is spliced from 3 exons. Lineage: Eukaryota; Metazoa; Chordata; Mammalia; Carnivora; Felidae. The record is from RefSeq and is a predicted model, not a curated record.